GGAGUUGUGGCUCAGCGGUAGAGCGCUUGCUUCGCAUUUGCAAGAACCUGGGUUCAAUCCUCAGCACCA
This 69-nucleotide transfer RNA is filed under the name Marmota monax (woodchuck). It matches the Rfam family "tRNA". Rfam says of the family: Transfer RNA (tRNA) molecules are approximately 80 nucleotides in length. Their secondary structure includes four short double-helical elements and three loops (D, anti-codon, and T loops). Further hydrogen bonds mediate the characteristic L-shaped molecular structure. tRNAs have two regions of fundamental functional importance: the anti-codon, which is responsible for specific mRNA codon recognition, and the 3' end, to which the tRNAs corresponding amino acid is attached (by aminoacyl-tRNA synthetases). tRNAs cope with the degeneracy of the genetic code in two manners: having more than one tRNA (with a specific anti-codon) for a particular amino acid; and 'wobble' base-pairing, i.e. permitting non-standard base-pairing at the 3rd anti-codon position. Lineage: Eukaryota; Metazoa; Chordata; Mammalia; Rodentia; Sciuridae. The record is from Rfam by way of RNAcentral.